Molecule: ribosomal RNA, 450 nt
Filed under: uncultured bacterium
Lineage: Bacteria
Description: bacterial SSU rRNA
Rfam family: Bacterial small subunit ribosomal RNA
Source: RNAcentral
CAUCCAGACUCCUACGGGAGGCAGCAGUGGGGAAUAUUGCACAAUGGGGGGAACCCUGAUGCAGCGACGCCGCGUGGGCGAGGAAGUAUUUCGGUAUGUAAAGCCCUAUCGGCAGGGAAGAAGAAAUGACGGUACCUGAAUAAGAAGCACCGGCUAAAUACGUGCCAGCAGCCGCGGUAAUACGUAUGGUGCAAGCGUUAUCCGGAUUUACUGGGCGUAAAGGGAGCGUAGGUGGCAUGGCAAGCCAGAGGUGAAAACCCGGGGCUUAACCCCGCGGAUUGCUUUUGGAACUGUCAGGCUGGAGUGCAGGAGGGGCAGGCGGAAUUCCUGGUGUAGCGGUGAAAUGCGUAGAUAUCAGGAGGAACACCGGUGGCGAAGGCGGCCUGCUGGACUGUAACUGACACUGAGGCUCGAAAGCGUGGGGAGCAAACAGGAUUAGAUACCCCAGUA